This 231-nucleotide long non-coding RNA is filed under the name Sorghum bicolor (sorghum). RNAcentral's name for it is "long non-coding RNA (SBIC_LNC007572)". The record is from RNAcentral. Lineage: Eukaryota; Viridiplantae; Streptophyta; Magnoliopsida; Poales; Poaceae.
CGCAAUUUGCCAUCAUUCAUCUGCCGUCCUGUCCAUCCAGCCGACACUUCUCCCCUGCUAACCGCUAACUGCUGCCUACUAUAUUAUUUAUCUAUUGCUACUAAUCUAUUGAGGUGAGCCCUCUCUAUUCCCUUAGCUAAAAAUACUAUUUACUAAUUUAUUUAUUAUAAGAAAAAAAAUAUACUGUUAAAUAAAUGGUUGUUAGAUUCAACAAACAAAAAGGCUGAUAUU